GCUUCACUGCUUUUGUUCCUGUUUCUGUUUCAAGCCUUUGCAUGGUGGUCGUGAGGAAGCUUUCGGUCAACAAUGAUGGGGAGAUGCACCCUUUUCUAUUUUGGUGAAAUUGGCAGAAGGCAAUCCUAGGGGCACGAACAACUUUGGGGGUGUGCCUGUUGACUUGGUAGAGGCGGGGACUGAAGGGAUUAGGGUUUUUUUUCUUUUUUCACUUUAAGUUUAGGAUAGUUGGCUUUGGGCUUGUAAAAGGACUAGACUUUUAUUUUUUUUUUUUUGUUAUUUAUUUGUUUUUAGGUUUUUUGUUUUGUUUUGUCUGGGCCGGACAAAAUUAGGCCACUACACAAAAGGCUUAUCUUAAAAAGCUUAAUAAAGUUUGACCUACCUUAAUUUUUUCUCUGCUAGUUACUCUCUUAAAUUUCCC
RNAcentral lists this long non-coding RNA (421 nucleotides) under Gossypium raimondii (Peruvian cotton). Its description in RNAcentral is "long non-coding RNA (GRAI_LNC004146)". Lineage: Eukaryota; Viridiplantae; Streptophyta; Magnoliopsida; Malvales; Malvaceae. The record is from RNAcentral.